GCCUGAGGUGUGAUCUCUUGCUCUUCUUGUCCUCCAUUAGGAAGUGUUAAUCAGAGGAAAAUUAAAAAAAAAGUCAUUAUAACUGUGUUAGUCUAUUUGUCAAAACGUAUGAAAGUGUAUUAGAUAAAAUUAGACCGUUUUUAAUUAAAGGGGCUGACUCCCCAUUCCCAGAACACAGUUCAUUGUUCUUGUUUUGAAAUCAUGUGACCGCUACUCUGUUAGCUCUCUGUGCAGCAAAACCUCUGCAGGUUCACUGUUCGUGAUCCAUUCAAAAUCUACCUUCAACUACUACUUCAUCUACGGGUCAUAAACGGAAGUUUUGAUGAGAAUAUGUUUGACAUUUUCUUUCCUUCGUGGCGGGCCACAUGACUGCCGAGGCUGGUUCUGGUUCAUUACAGUGGAAUAACCAUACGAAAAUGGAAUGGUGGAAUAUUGAUGGCUGUGAAAUGGUGACUUGCUACUUGGCGCAGAGACUUCUGGGAAGGGUAUAGAAAUGCCAUUCCCUGGAAAAGAAAAGGAAUUGUGUGUGUUAGAGAAUGCUUGAACACAGUCGAACAAGACUGUGCAAUGUGCAUUUAUUAGAGAAUUCUCUAAAAAUGCACCAACUGCAAUGCAGAUUUGGACCUGGCACAAAAAGUUCAAAGAGGAAGGCUCUGUGUGUGUGUGUGUGUGUGUCUCUGUCUCAGGCCACACGCAUAUUGAAAAUUUGUAAAAUUGUUCAUGGAAUCCACAUACCUUUGAAUUUCUCAUUCAAAU
Neoarius graeffei (lesser salmon catfish) is the source of this 756-nucleotide long non-coding RNA. RefSeq lists it as uncharacterized. The record is from RefSeq and is a predicted model, not a curated record. Lineage: Eukaryota; Metazoa; Chordata; Actinopteri; Siluriformes; Ariidae. The transcript has 3 exons.